Molecule: transfer RNA, 68 nt
Filed under: Exostoma labiatum
Lineage: Eukaryota; Metazoa; Chordata; Actinopteri; Siluriformes; Sisoridae
Description: tRNA-Ser
Rfam family: tRNA
About the family: Transfer RNA (tRNA) molecules are approximately 80 nucleotides in length. Their secondary structure includes four short double-helical elements and three loops (D, anti-codon, and T loops).
Source: RNAcentral
GAAAGUGGCAGAGUGGUUAUGUGGCUGGCUUGAAACCAGUUUAUGGGGGUUCAAUUCCCUCUUUUCUC